UGUUCGAAACAUUACAUUCGCAGUUGCAUAUUUAGAAUAAAGCUUAGCAUCACUAGCAGACAAUAUGGGUGUGGUGAUGAGUUUGAUGCUACUAUCCGCCGUCUGUGAACAAUUAACAUAUCAGCUUAAACAGUAGAAACUUGUAGAGCGUCUUAUCAAUCACAAACAUACAGGAGUUAUAAUCACAACCAGCGAUCAACAGCUGUGUGCCUCAUUGUGCUUGCCGUGCUUUUAGUUAUCGCCAGUUGCAUACGAUUGGUCAGGUUUUGUCUGUUUUGCCAAUGGUAUCAUUAGAGAGCGAACUUAUCACUUCUGGCAUUGGCAUUGUCGCCAAGUAGCGAUAGCCCGACAUUCAGAUUUACCAGUCGAUUACAGGCGGUUGUUGUGGAAUAAAAUCAGCAUAUGGCAGCGA
Molecule: long non-coding RNA, 412 nt
Organism: Bactrocera dorsalis (oriental fruit fly)
Lineage: Eukaryota; Metazoa; Arthropoda; Insecta; Diptera; Tephritidae
Exons: 3
Source: RefSeq, a predicted model, not a curated record